Molecule: ribosomal RNA, 480 nt
Filed under: Cellulosimicrobium sp.
Lineage: Bacteria; Bacillati; Actinomycetota; Actinomycetes; Micrococcales; Promicromonosporaceae
Description: bacterial SSU rRNA
Rfam family: Bacterial small subunit ribosomal RNA
Source: RNAcentral
UAACACGUGAGUAACCUGCCCUUGACUUCGGGAUAACUCCGGGAAACCGGGGCUAAUACCGGAUAUGAGCCGCCUUCGCAUGGGGGUGGUUGGAAAGUUUUUCGGUCAGGGAUGGGCUCGCGGCCUAUCAGCUUGUUGGUGGGGUGAUGGCCUACCAAGGCGACGACGGGUAGCCGGCCUGAGAGGGCGACCGGCCACACUGGGACUGAGACACGGCCCAGACUCCUACGGGAGGCAGCAGUGGGGAAUAUUGCACAAUGGGCGAAAGCCUGAUGCAGCGACGCCGCGUGAGGGAUGAAGGCCUUCGGGUUGUAAACCUCUUUCAGCAGGGAAGAAGCGCAAGUGACGGUACCUGCAGAAGAAGCGCCGGCUAACUACGUGCCAGCAGCCGCGGUAAUACGUAGGGCGCAAGCGUUGUCCGGAAUUAUUGGGCGUAAAGAGCUCGUAGGCGGUUUGUCGCGUCUGGUGUGAAAACUCGAG